This 253-nucleotide ribosomal RNA is filed under the name uncultured bacterium. RNAcentral's name for it is "partial 16S ribosomal RNA". It matches the Rfam family "Bacterial small subunit ribosomal RNA", at positions 524 to 776 of the family's 1533-position model. The record is from RNAcentral.
UACGGAGGGUGCAAGCGUUGUUCGGAAUCAUUGGGCGUAAAGCGCGUGUAGGCGGCUUGGCAAGUCGGUUGUGAAAGCCCGGGGCCCAACCCCGGAAUUGCAUCUGAAACUGCCUCGCUAGAGUCCCGGAGAGGAAGGCAGAAUUCCCGGUGUAGGGGUGAAAUCCGUAGAUAUCGGGAGGAAUACCAGCGGCGAAGGCGGCCUUCUGGACGGUGACUGACGCUGAGACGCGAAAGCGUGGGGAGCAAACGGG